Molecule: ribosomal RNA, 2990 nt
Filed under: Salmonella enterica subsp. enterica serovar Indiana
Lineage: Bacteria; Pseudomonadati; Pseudomonadota; Gammaproteobacteria; Enterobacterales; Enterobacteriaceae
Description: 23S ribosomal RNA
Rfam family: Bacterial large subunit ribosomal RNA
Source: RNAcentral
GGUUAAGCGACUAAGCGUACACGGUGGAUGCCCUGGCAGUCAGAGGCGAUGAAGGACGUGCUAAUCUGCGAUAAGCGCCGGUAAGGUGAUAUGAACCGUUAUAACCGGCGAUUUCCGAAUGGGGAAACCCAGUGUGACUCGUCACACUAUCAUUAACUGAAUCCAUAGGUUAAUGAGGCGAACCGGGGGAACUGAAACAUCUAAGUACCCCGAGGAAAAGAAAUCAACCGAGAUUCCCCCAGUAGCGGCGAGCGAACGGGGAGGAGCCCAGAGCCUGAAUCAGCAUGUGUGUUAGUGGAAGCGUCUGGAAAGGCGCGCGAUACAGGGUGACAGCCCCGUACACAAAAGCGCAUGUGCUGUGAGCUCGAUGAGUAGGGCGGGACACGUGGUAUCCUGUCUGAAUAUGGGGGGACCAUCCUCCAAGGCUAAAUACUCCUGACUGACCGAUAGUGAACCAGUACCGUGAGGGAAAGGCGAAAAGAACCCCGGCGAGGGGAGUGAAAAAGAACCUGAAACCGUGUACGUACAAACAGUGGGAGCACCCUUCGGGGUGUGACUGCGUACCUUUUGUAUAAUGGGUCAGCGACUUAUAUUCUGUAGCAAGGUUAACCGAAUAGGGGAGCCGGAGGGAAACCGAGUCUUAAUUGGGCGUUAAGUUGCAGGGUAUAGACCCGAAACCCGGUGAUCUAGCCAUGGGCAGGUUGAAGGUUGGGUAACACUAACUGGAGGACCGAACCGACUAAUGUUGAAAAAUUAGCGGAUGACCUGUGGCUGGGGGUGAAAGGCCAAUCAAACCGGGAGAUAGCUGGUUCUCCCCGAAAGCUAUUUAGGUAGCGCCUCGUGAAUUCAUCUCCGGGGGUAGAGCACUGUUUCGGCUAGGGGGCCAUCCCGGCUUACCAACCCGAUGCAAACUGCGAAUACCGGAGAAUGUUAUCACGGGAGACACACGGCGGGUGCUAACGUCCGUCGUGAAGAGGGAAACAACCCAGACCGCCAGCUAAGGUCCCAAAGUCAUGGUUAAGUGGGAAACGAUGUGGGAAGGCCCAGACAGCCAGGAUGUUGGCUUAGAAGCAGCCAUCAUUUAAAGAAAGCGUAAUAGCUCACUGGUCGAGUCGGCCUGCGCGGAAGAUGUAACGGGGCUAAACCAUGCACCGAAGCUGCGGCAGCGAACGUAUCACCCAAGACAACUUUGCGGAGUUGACGAUUGACGGAGCGAAGCGACGUCAAAGCGUUCAUUAAAGUCGAGUUGGCUUAGGGAUACGUUCGUUGGGUAGGGGAGCGUUCUGUAAGCCUGUGAAGGUGUGCUGUGAGGCAUGCUGGAGGUAUCAGAAGUGCGAAUGCUGACAUAAGUAACGAUAAAGCGGGUGAAAAGCCCGCUCGCCGGAAGACCAAGGGUUCCUGUCCAACGUUAAUCGGGGCAGGGUGAGUCGACCCCUAAGGCGAGGCCGAAAGGCGUAGUCGAUGGGAAACGGGUUAAUAUUCCCGUACUUGGUGUUACUGCGAAGGGGGGACGGAGAAGGCUAUGUUGGCCGGGCGACGGUUGUCCCGGUUUAAGCGUGUAGGUGUGUGUUCCAGGUAAAUCCGGUUCACUUUAACACUGAGGCGUGACGACGAGGCACUACGGUGCUGAAGCAACAAAUGCCCUGCUUCCAGGAAAAGCCUCUAAGCAUCAGGUAACAUCAAAUCGUACCCCAAACCGACACAGGUGGUCAGGUAGAGAAUACCAAGGCGCUUGAGAGAACUCGGGUGAAGGAACUAGGCAAAAUGGUGCCGUAACUUCGGGAGAAGGCACGCUGACAUGUAGGUGAAGUGAUUUACUCAUGGAGCUGAAGUCAGUCGAAGAUACCAGCUGGCUGCAACUGUUUAUUAAAAACACAGCACUGUGCAAACACGAAAGUGGACGUAUACGGUGUGACGCCUGCCCGGUGCCGGAAGGUUAAUUGAUGGGGUCAGCGCAAGCGAAGCUCCUGAUCGAAGCCCCGGUAAACGGCGGCCGUAACUAUAACGGUCCUAAGGUAGCGAAAUUCCUUGUCGGGUAAGUUCCGACCUGCACGAAUGGCGUAAUGAUGGCCAGGCUGUCUCCACCCGAGACUCAGUGAAAUUGAACUCGCUGUGAAGAUGCAGUGUACCCGCGGCAAGACGGAAAGACCCCGUGAACCUUUACUAUAGCUUGACACUGAACAUUGAGCCUUGAUGUGUAGGAUAGGUGGGAGGCUUUGAAGUGUGGACGCCAGUCUGCAUGGAGCCGACCUUGAAAUACCACCCUUUAAUGUUUGAUGUUCUAACGUGGACCCGUAAUCCGGGUUGCGGACAGUGUCUGGUGGGUAGUUUGACUGGGGCGGUCUCCUCCUAAAGAGUAACGGAGGAGCACGAAGGUUGGCUAAUCCUGGUCGGACAUCAGGAGGUUAGUGCAAUGGCAUAAGCCAGCUUGACUGCGAGCGUGACGGCGCGAGCAGGUGCGAAAGCAGGUCAUAGUGAUCCGGUGGUUCUGAAUGGAAGGGCCAUCGCUCAACGGAUAAAAGGUACUCCGGGGAUAACAGGCUGAUACCGCCCAAGAGUUCAUAUCGACGGCGGUGUUUGGCACCUCGAUGUCGGCUCAUCACAUCCUGGGGCUGAAGUAGGUCCCAAGGGUAUGGCUGUUCGCCAUUUAAAGUGGUACGCGAGCUGGGUUUAGAACGUCGUGAGACAGUUCGGUCCCUAUCUGCCGUGGGCGCUGGAGAACUGAGGGGGGCUGCUCCUAGUACGAGAGGACCGGAGUGGACGCAUCACUGGUGUUCGGGUUGUCAUGCCAAUGGCACUGCCCGGUAGCUAAAUGCGGAAGAGAUAAGUGCUGAAAGCAUCUAAGCACGAAACUUGCCCCGAGAUGAGUUCUCCCUGAGACUUUAGGUCUCCUGAAGGAACGUUGAAGACGACGACGUUGAUAGGCCGGGUGUGUAAGCGCAGCGAUGCGUUGAGCUAACCGGUACUAAUGAACCGUGAGGCUUAACCUU